Molecule: ribosomal RNA, 255 nt
Filed under: uncultured bacterium
Lineage: Bacteria
Description: partial 16S ribosomal RNA
Rfam family: Archaeal small subunit ribosomal RNA
Source: RNAcentral
UACCAGCACCCCGAGUGGUCGGGACGUUUUAUUGGGCCUAAAGCAUCCGUAGCCGGUCCUGCAAGUCUUCCGUUAAAUCCAGCUGCUCAACAGAUGGGCUGCGGGGGGAUACUACAGGGCUAGGAGGCGGGAGAGGCAAGCGGUACUUUAUGGGUAGGGGUAAAAUCCGUUGAUCCAUAGAAGACCACCAGUGGCGAAGGCGGCUUGCCAGAACGCGCUCGACGGUGAGGGAUGAAAGCUGGGGGAGCAAACCGG